AGCAGCCGCGGUAAUUCCAGCUCCAAUAGCGUAUAUUAAAGUUGUUGCAGUUAAAAAGCUCGUAGUUGAAUUUCGGGAUCAAUAUUUCGGUCAUGCCGUUGGUAUGCACUGUUAUCAUUGAUUUCUCACCUUCUAAAGAACCGUAAUGCCAUUAAUUUGGUGUUACGGGGAAUUAGGACUGUUACCUUGAAAAAAUUAGAGUGUUUAAAGCAGGCUCACGCUUGAAUACAUUAGCAUGGAAUAAUGAAAUAGGACAUCCGAUUCUAUUUUGUUGGUUUCUAGGAUCGAUGUAAUGAUUAAUAGGGAUAGUUGGGGGCAUUAGUAUUCAAUUGUCAGAGGUGAAAUUCUUGGAUUUAUUGAAGACUAACUACUGCGAAAGCAUUUGCCAAGGAUGUUUUCAUUAAUCAAGAACGAAAGUUAGGGGAUCGAAGACGAUCAGAUACCGUCGUAGUCUUAACCAUAAACUAUGCCGACUAGGGAUCGGAUGAUGUUAAUUUUUUAAAUGACUCA
RNAcentral lists this ribosomal RNA (510 nucleotides) under uncultured Glomus. Its description in RNAcentral is "SSU rRNA". It matches the Rfam family "Eukaryotic small subunit ribosomal RNA", at positions 569 to 1078 of the family's 1831-position model. The record is from RNAcentral. Lineage: Eukaryota; Fungi; Glomeromycota; Glomeromycetes; Glomerales; Glomeraceae.